CAAGACCUCAUGCUUUUGGAGCGGCCGAUGUCUGAUUAGCUAGUUGGUGGGGUAAUGGCUCACCAAGGCGACGAUCAGUAGUUGGUCUGAGAGGACGACCAGCCACACUGGGACUGAGACACGGCCCAGACUCCUACGGGAGGCAGCAGUGGGGAAUUUUGGACAAUGGGCGCAAGCCUGACCCAGCAAUGCCGCGUGAGUGAAGAAGGCCUUCGGGUUGUAAAGCUCUUUCGGUCGAGAAGAAAAGGCUGUGACUAAUAAUCAUAGCUCAUGACGGUAUCGACAGAAGAAGCACCGGCUAACUACGUGCCAGCAGCCGCGGUAAUACGUAGGGUGCGAGCGUUAAUCGGAAUUACUGGGCGUAAAGGGUGCGCAGGCGGUUUUGUAAGUCAGAUGUGAAAUCCCCGGGCUUAACCUGGGAACU
RNAcentral lists this ribosomal RNA (424 nucleotides) under uncultured beta proteobacterium. RNAcentral describes it as "bacterial SSU rRNA". It matches the Rfam family "Bacterial small subunit ribosomal RNA", at positions 202 to 622 of the family's 1533-position model. The record is from RNAcentral. Lineage: Bacteria; Pseudomonadati; Pseudomonadota; Betaproteobacteria.